UAGGGAAUCUUCGGCAAUGGACGAAAGUCUGACCGAGCAACGCCGCGUGAGUGAAGAAGGUUUUCGGAUCGUAAAACUCUGUUGUUAGAGAAGAACAAGGACGUUAGUAACUGAACGUCCCCUGACGGUAUCUAACCAGAAAGCCACGGCUAACUACGUGCCAGCAGCCGCGGUAUACGUAGGUGGCAAGCGUUGUCCGGAUUUAUUGGGCGUAAAGCGAGCGCAGGCGGUUUCUUAAGGCUGGUGUGAAAGCCCCCGGCUCAACCGGGGAGGGUCAUUGGAAACUGGGAGACUUGAGUGCAGAAGAGGAGAGUGGAAUUCCAUGUGUAGCGGUGAAAUGCGUAGAUAUAUGGAGGAACACCAGUGGCGAAGGCGGCUCUCUGGUCUGUAACUGACGCUGAGGCUCGAAAGCGUGGGGAGCAAACAGG
This 428-nucleotide ribosomal RNA is filed under the name Gemmatimonadota bacterium. Its description in RNAcentral is "Gemmatimonadetes bacterium partial 16S ribosomal RNA". It matches the Rfam family "Bacterial small subunit ribosomal RNA", at positions 355 to 776 of the family's 1533-position model. The record is from RNAcentral. Lineage: Bacteria; Pseudomonadati; Gemmatimonadota.